This 96-nucleotide non-coding RNA is filed under the name human gut metagenome. Its description in RNAcentral is "THF riboswitch". It matches the Rfam family "THF (Tetrahydrofolate) riboswitch aptamer". Rfam says of the family: THF riboswitch presents a pseudoknot that joins P1-P2 and the loop of P3 and two THF binding. The record is from RNAcentral.
CAGAGUAGAGAAUCCCGCGUGAAGUGCUGUCAAGAUGGGGAGUUGUGUGGCAGACGAAGGGCAGGUUGCCCGCGAUGGGAUUUUCGCACCCGCUGC